GGGGUAAGACGGGUUGUGAUUGUGGAGGCUGGAAGCAAGCGGGUAGAAGGUAUCAUUUCGCUAGGCGACAUAUUCAAGUUCCUGCUAAGCUAAUGGAUACAACAGUAACAGUAUCAGUAUCAGUAUCAGCAAAAGUAACAGUAAUUGUUUCACAAUUCUUUGAAGCAUAUGAUUGCGAUUUGGCCUCGCGUUUUGAUAAGGUGUAUUAGUGUAAAGAGCAAAGGCAUGUAAAUCUUGAUUGUGUUUUAUAUGUGACUCGACUUAAGUCUAUGUGCUCUUGUUGUUUUGCCACGUGGCAACUAGUUUUAUUUGACAUUUUUUUGAAUUGUGGUUUUUGAAUGGUGUUUGUAUUUUAAUUGUUGUAGUAUUUAUAAGUUAUAACAGUCAUGCAAUGGUUAAUUUUAGGUAUAAAUAAUAAAAAGAAAGAUUGGUGUUGCUUUGAAUUAUGUGGCUUUUUUAUUAGGUGUUAAUUUUUGUAGUUUUUAUUUUAUUUUACUUUUGUGAAACUUCUUUCAAUCGGUGAGUUUUUUUAGCAAAAUAAUCCAAACUUAUAAUUAAAAAUUAAUUAAAAGAUUUAGGGGUUAUUAGGCAUGUUUUACAAAAUAAAUUAUUGGCUUAAAAAAAUCAGUAAAUCUAAAAAACUUUUUGGCUAUUGAUAAAUGUUUUUUUAAAGUGUUUUGAUAUGUUUUAAAGUGGAGUUUCUAAAAGACAAAAUUGUUUACUUUUGUCUCUUGAGAUUGUCAAAUAUUGAGAUUUUUGUCUAAAAUGUUUUGGAUUCUACCAACGGUCUAAAAGGUUUAUUGUAUUGCGAGUUUACCAAAAAAUUUCAAACGUUUUAUAAUUAUGGAUUUGCCAUUGAUAUUUUUCUUUUUUAAAUUAUUUUACAUUUUUCUAAUUAAAAUUAAAAAAAAAAAAGACAAGAAACACCCCACUUACCCCACUACUCAUUCCUUAUCAAUACCUUAUAUCAUUUUUCGAUUCAAAUUAGAUCUAGGAACACCGUCACUAGAUAGAUACCGCCGCCAUGGUCGGACGUCAUUUCCACCAUUGGACACCACAAAACACUCAUUUUUAUUCAGAUCUUCAAGCUCAAACAUGAACAAAUGAUUUUUCUGCAAACUUCCAAAACACUCAAACUACAACAAAAUUACUCAAGAACAAUAUAUUUCAACAAACUUGAUUUUUUUAGAUCUUAAGAACAAAAAUACAUUUUCCAAAUUUGCAAAAUCAAAAACCCUAAAAUUACGAAUUAAAUUAUCCAAAUCUUCAAACAAAAUCUCUAAAAACUCAAUUUUCUAAUCUGAAAACUCAACUUUCCAAAUCCUCAAAACCUCAUUGUUGAAGAUCUUAUUUGCAAAAGAAAGGGAAAAAGGUUGUCCGGCGAGAAACCUCUCGUCUUCGAAAUCCCUUUGUAGUUGCCACCCUUCAUUUUUCAUCUAUUCGUCAUGAGGAUUUAGAGUGAUAGUGUUGGUCGUCAUACGGCAAGAAGAAGAUAGAGAAAUAGGGUGAUAGGGAUCUGAAAAGCUAGGGUUUCGAAAAACUAUAAGGGCGACGACGCUAGGGUUUUUGCAAACGUUGGCACCCUGUCGGAGAAGGAGAGAGACGGACAAUGUGACACUAAACCUUUGUCGGAGCUAUGGUGUACAAGACGGAUAUCGUCGGUACUCCGUGGCGACGAUUUCGUCAAGAUCCAUCAAAACCCCUAAAUGGUGGUGUCACCAAACCUCCAUCGAUCCACUGGUUGAUACGAUCUACGGUCAAAAUGGUGGUGUCCGUGGUGGUUGUUCAUGGUGAGAGAAGACGAACUGAGAAAGAGGGUAACAGCUUCGGUGGUCAUUCGACGAACAAAAAAGAGAGAAAGGGUGAUAGCAUAUCUGAAAUCUAACUCCAUUCGAAGAGCAUUGUGGUGGCACCAGCGAUAGGUCUCUGACGAUAGAUUUUUAGUGGUGGUCCGACGAAAAGGGUGGCAUUGACGGUGAGUUAAUUUUCCGGUGGACAUUAGAGAUGGAGUUUGUAAAAGAGGGAUAUGGAUGUGGGUGGGAUGGGUUAUUAGGGUUAUGAUUAUAUUUUGUUUUUUGUUUUAUUUUAAUAAGAUAAAGUAAAUAAAAAAAAACAAAUAGAAA
RNAcentral lists this long non-coding RNA (2123 nucleotides) under Lactuca sativa (garden lettuce). RNAcentral describes it as "long non-coding RNA (LSAT_LNC005290)". The record is from RNAcentral. Lineage: Eukaryota; Viridiplantae; Streptophyta; Magnoliopsida; Asterales; Asteraceae.